Molecule: transfer RNA, 75 nt
Filed under: Cordylochernes scorpioides
Lineage: Eukaryota; Metazoa; Arthropoda; Arachnida; Pseudoscorpiones; Chernetidae
Description: tRNA-Thr
Source: RNAcentral
UGUCCAAAGUUGGGAAUCGAACCCACAGUGUUCCGAUUACCGGACAGAUGCCAUGUCCACUAGGCUACCCUGGAC